GCUGAACGCUAGCGGCAGGCUUAACACAUGCAAGCCGAGGGGUAGAGGUUGCUUGCAACCUUGAGACCGGCGCCCGGGUGCGUAACGCGUAUGCAACCUACCUUUGACAGAGGGAUAGCCCAGAGAAAUUUGGAUUAAUACCUAAUAGUAUAUAACCUUCGCAUGUUGGUUAUAUUAAAGUUCCAACGGUAAAAGAUGGGCAUGCGUCAUAUUAGAUAGAUGGUAAGGUAACGGCUUACCAUGGCAACGUUAGGUAGGGGUCCUGGGAGGGAGAUCCCCCACAAUGGUACAGAGACACGGACCAGACUCCUAGGGGAGGCAGCAGUGAGGAAUAUUGGACAAUGAGCGCAAGCCUGAUCCAGCCAUGCCGCGUGCAGGAAGAAGCAUCUAUGGUGUGUAAGCUGCUAUUGUACAGGAAGAAACACACCGAAGUGUCGGGGCUUGACGGUACUGUAAGAAUAAGGAUCGGCUAACUCCGUGCCAGCCGCCGCCGUAA
Molecule: ribosomal RNA, 496 nt
Filed under: uncultured bacterium
Lineage: Bacteria
Description: partial 16S ribosomal RNA
Rfam family: Bacterial small subunit ribosomal RNA
Source: RNAcentral